CCUACGGGGGGCUGCAGUGGGGAAUAUUGGACAAUGGGCGAAAGCCUGAUCCAGCCAUGCCGCGUGUGUGAAGAAGGCCUUCGGGUCGUAAAGCACUUUCAGUGGGGAAGAAAGCCUUGGGGCUAAUACCCUCGAGGAAGGACAUCACCCACAGAAGAAGCACCGGCUAACUCCGUGCCAGCAGCCGCGGUAAUACGGAGGGUGCGAGCGUUAAUCGGAAUUACUGGGCGUAAAGCGCGCGUAGGCGGUCUGAUAAGCCGGUUGUGAAAGCCCCGGGCUCAACCUGGGAACGGCAUCCGGAACUGUCAGGCUAGAGUGCAGGAGAGGAAGGUAGAAUUCCCGGUGUAGCGGUGAAAUGCGUAGAGAUCGGGAGGAAUACCAGUGGCGAAGGCGGCCUUCUGGACUGACACUGACGCUGAGGUGCGAAAGCGUGGGUAGCAAACAGGAUUAGAUACCCUGGUAGUC
This 465-nucleotide ribosomal RNA is filed under the name Vreelandella stevensii. RNAcentral describes it as "partial 16S ribosomal RNA". It matches the Rfam family "Bacterial small subunit ribosomal RNA", at positions 338 to 795 of the family's 1533-position model. The record is from RNAcentral. Lineage: Bacteria; Pseudomonadati; Pseudomonadota; Gammaproteobacteria; Oceanospirillales; Halomonadaceae.